AUUGCACGCUGGCGGCAGGCUUAACACAUGCAAGUCGCGCGGGGGAAGGUAGCGUGCUACCGGACCUAGCGGCGGACGGGUGAGUAAUGCUUAGGAAUCUGCCUAUCAGUGGGGGGCAACAUCUCGGCAGGGCUGCGAAUACCGCAUACGUCCUACGGGAGAAAGCAGGGGAUCUUCGCACCGUGCGCUACUAGCUGAGCCGCAGUGGGAUUAGCUAGGUGGUGGGGUAAAGGCCUACCAAGGCGACGAUCUGUAGCGGGUCUGAGAGGAUGGUCCGCCACACUGGGACUGAGACACGGCCCAGACUCCUACGGGAGGCAGCAGUGGGGAAUAUUGGACAAUGGGGGGAACCCUGAUCCAGCCAUGCCGCGUGUGUGAAGAAGGCCUUAUGGUUGUAAAGCACUUUAAGCGAGGAGGAGGCUACUCUAGUUAAUACCUAGGGAUAGUGGACGUUACUCGCAGAAUAAGCACCGGCUAACUCUGUGCCAGCCGCCGCGGUAA
This 501-nucleotide ribosomal RNA is filed under the name uncultured bacterium. RNAcentral's name for it is "partial 16S ribosomal RNA". It matches the Rfam family "Bacterial small subunit ribosomal RNA", at positions 29 to 523 of the family's 1533-position model. The record is from RNAcentral.